UAACACCACUUGAAUACUAGGUUGUCAUCCCCAGCAUGGCACUAGAGUGUACUAUGGUAUUUAUACGCACACAGAUAAUCCGCAAGCGCACGGAUAACGUUGAAGCUUUUACCCGGUUAAAGGUUUUAUCGUAUCCACAGGGAAACGGGAGAACCAACUACGCUCUAACUUAAUCCUAGAUAGAUAAGUAAAUGUAAAUAGGAAAGAUGGUAGAACCGAAUAAGAACAAUAUUAAAGGUAAGA
This 243-nucleotide long non-coding RNA is filed under the name Sorghum bicolor (sorghum). RNAcentral's name for it is "long non-coding RNA (SBIC_LNC017318)". Lineage: Eukaryota; Viridiplantae; Streptophyta; Magnoliopsida; Poales; Poaceae. The record is from RNAcentral.